Molecule: long non-coding RNA, 5327 nt
Organism: Canis lupus familiaris (dog)
Lineage: Eukaryota; Metazoa; Chordata; Mammalia; Carnivora; Canidae
Exons: 4
Source: RefSeq, a predicted model, not a curated record
UUCAUUCCUUUGAUAGUGUCCUUUGAAGCACAGAAGUUUUAAAUUUUGAUUAAGACAAAUUUAUCUAUUUUUUUCCUUCUUUUUGCUUGUUCUUUUGGUGUCGUAUCUAAUAAACCAUUGCCUAAUCUAAGGUCACAGAGAUUAUGUCCAUUUUUUCUUCUUUUGUUUCUUUUAAUAAGAGUCUCAUCAUUUUAGCUCUCACAUUUAGGUCUUUCAUCUAUUUUGAAUCCAAUUUUGAAUAUAGUGUAAUGAAGAGGUCAGCUCACUGUUUUUGUAUGAUACCCAGUUGUCCCAGCACCAUUUAUUAAAAAUACUAUUCCUUUCUCCUACUAAAUUGUCUUAGCAUCCCUGUCAAAAAUCAACCGAUUAUAAAUGCAAGGGUAUAUUUCUGAACUUUUAAGUAUGCUCCAUUGAUCUGUCUGUCCUUAUCAAGUACCAAACUGUCUUAAUUAUUGAAGCUCUGUAGUUAGUUUUGAAAUUAGAGUAUGAGUCUUCCAACCUUGUUCUCAUUUCUCAAGAUUGUUUUGGCUAUUCUGGAUCUCUUGCAUUUCCAUAUGAAUUUAUAACCAGCUUGUCAAUUUCUACAUAGAAGCCAGCUGAGAUUUUCAUAGAUUGUGCUUAAACUGUAGGUCCAUUUGGGGAGUAUUGCCAUGCCAACGAUAGUAAGUCUUCCGAUCCAUGUACAUAGGAUGUCUUCCCAUUUACUUAGGUCUUCUUUAAUUUCUUUUAAUAGUGUUCUGGUCUUCAGAGUAUAAGUUUCACACUUCUGUUGAGUUUAUUCCUAAAAUUUUAUUAUUUUUUAUGGUAUUGUAGAUGUAAAACCACUGGAGUGUGCACAGUGGGAUGGACCUCACACCUGUGGAUACAAUUCCAUGAAUAUAACCAAAGACAAAGAUAGCUUUUUGUGGGAGGGGAUGACAUAGAAUAGAGUACGGUGGUCUACACAACAACAUCACAUUUUGACUCAUGUCAAGAGAAAACCAUCACACUUUUUCAGGUCUUCUGCUUCUGUGCUGUGCUUCCCACACUCUAUACCUGGACUGGUUGCCCCGAGAAGCUAAAGGUAGCACAUUGGCUUUUCCAUUUAAUAAGUUUGGAUUCAACCCACUGUUAAUAGUCUAUGAGAUUAGUUUGUAUAUUGAUUCUGACCCUGGUCAUAUCUUUGUCCUUCAGCCUAUCCACAAAUGUAAUAGACAUAUCCUCUUUAGGGUUUUUGUUCAAGCCAAUGCUAAACAUGUUCAGCAGGACUUUGCCAAGAACAGAUGCUUGAGGUCCUGAGUUCAGAACCUCUCUCUGAGAUCAUUGAAUUUCAGCCCCUGAAUAACAGUAUCCAACCAGUCCCCAAGCCACCCAGUGGUCUUCAUACCCAAUUCAUUAGUCCUUGCAUCCAAUCCAUAUGGCAACCCCAUUGAACUUAUCAAAUGCCCCAUUCAAUUCCUAAAUCCUUGAUCUAUUUCAUCUCUACCAGUCUAGUAAUCCUAUCAAAGAAAGAGACAAUUUAUCUGACAGAGCUUUUUCUUUCUGAGCCUGCAGUGGGUCCUGGUGAUUCUUGCUUUCUAUCUGUUCGUAAACCAUAAGUCUCCUUUAACAAUCAUUUUUGAAUUGGAUGCACCAAAUUCACUAGCCAGUUACUUUCUUAUGAUAAGAGAAUUAACUUCAGAUGAAGAAACAGGAUCACAUGGGUUAAAGUCAUGCAUAAGGCUGGUAAGUGUGGAGGGAAGUCUAGAAUCCAAGGCUUAUGAUGACUUAUUCUGUGCCCCCUCCAUUCACAAUGGAGGAGGUUCCUAUUUGACAAUGACAGGAGCAAGUGUGAAUGUGGGAAGCUACUCAGAAACUCCACGUCCUCAGGUAAACUCAGGUGUUCAACUUACUGUGCCCAAAGUGAUAUACUGCUACAUACAAGUGAUGUGGUUGCCUCAGCAACCACUAGAGAAUGAGCAGAACAAGAAAAAGAAUCGUUUGAACCACAUCUGUGGUAUCAUAUUAUCUCCUUUAAUUCAGGUUCCUCUUUGACCUGAAUUAUCUGGAUUUUAUUAGUUGAAAAAGCAUCUAUCGACUCAUGUUGUUUUAGGCCCCACGGUAGGCUCUGAAGAUCUUGAGAUGUGAGAGGCACAGAGAAACUUUACAGACAAAUGUUGCUCUUCACACCCACCGAUCGCAUGGAACUGUGAUUUGUGAAUCACGUACGGCCACAUCCCUUGUUCUAACAUUUCUCAUCUCGGACAGCCUGGCGUAUCUCGAGGAGUGGCGGGGCACAGGGAAACUUUAAACAGAAUCAUUACGUAUAGAUAGUGGGUGCCAUAGCCUGCACUGAGCCUCCUCUGCCAGAGCCGUGGAAGGGGUGGCUGAAUUUUUCUCCCUCGUUGACCAAUUUGGGAAUGAUUUUAAAACAGCCCUUGCUGUUUGUUUGCUGUUUGCUUUCCCUUUAGGAAAAUAAACUCAGUCACAGUAAAAUAGCUGAACAAAUGGGUAGUUGGGAGCCUUUUAUAACAUUCAGCAUCAGAAGGAAUCUUGUAAGGCGUGUUCCAAAAAACCGUUGAGGAUUUGAGGUGACCUUAAACUUGGCAUUUCUCAUUAGAAAGACUUCAGUCACCCUGAAAAGAAGGAAAACCUCCAUUUAAAAAAACAGUGAACAGCAGAUUUUCCUAGAGCCCAUGGCCACACAGGCCACUUGAAUGAGACUUCAGAGCUGUCGCAUGCCGGCAAGAUGGCGCCCCUUAAGGCCUCCAGUUGCCUCAUGUCACAUCAGCCAUGUGAUGCUAAGUCAGGAACCUGAAACAUAAAGCCCAUCAUCCACUGGCUCCUUCAGUGAAAUGACUCAGGGGGCUGUGAAGUCAGGCUUGGUCCUGAGAAAGGUCAAGAGCGGCAUGGAUCAGACUCUCAUUUGGAGGAUCUUUUGGCCUGGCAGGUGGCCAACGUUCUUCCAUUGAUGUGGGGGAUUUGUAAGCUCAGUCACUCACUCCUCUGUCAGGGGCCAGACCCUACAGAUGUUUCAGAGAGAGUAGAUGCUUGGAGCCACAAGCGACUAAAGACGGGGUAAACCCAAUGGUGUUAAGCACGAGGGCCAUGCGGUCAGAUGGCACUUGGGUUUUGGAUACGCCGUCACGAACUCUGCAGGUGACCUAUUCUCUGAGCUCUGUUUCCUUCUUUCAUAAAAUGAAGACACACUAGAUACAUACGAGAGAGGAUCUUUAGAUCAAUACAUGUAAAGGGCUCAGUGUCUGGUACACAGUAAAUGCUCAAUAAAUGUGUGUUACCAUCAGUGCCACAACUCCUUCGUCUUGGGGGUGUGGGAGGAGAGAGCCAGAGCAGAAACACGAAUCCUUCGAGGUAGCUAUUUUGUCCGAUAGAUGCGCUGCUUAGGGAUGCAGCCCUUCCAAUGACAAGCUUUCUGGUUUUGAGCAUCGUCCCCAGGAGAUGACAAGCAGCAGGGAGAACAGACUGAAAGGUUCGAGGCAGCAGCUGGCACCUGGGGGCAGAUGCACGGGGUGCGCAGUGCGAGGGGGAACGGCAGAGUGAGUCCUCCCCCUGUCCACCUCACCUUGGACAGUCUGCUUGAUUUGUUAGCACCUCCCAAAUCCCUUCCCUGGGUUACUGUUUGCUUGCUUUUUUGUUUUAUUUUUGCAUUUUGGAUCUGAGGCAGAGGAAAUGCACCCCUCUGGCCAUUUACAGGUGACCCAGAUGGGGACAGGAUGGUGCAUUCCCCAACUGCGGGGUUCACAGCAAUCCCCAAAGCCUGUGAGAAGAUGAAACUGCUAAUAAAAAAAAAGUAGGAGAGAGACACACACACUUGGGUUCAAAACAGACUGUGUGAACCACUGCUCUCCGGUCCUAGCUGGUUCUGCAGCUCUCGUGCCUUCAUGCAGCUGGAUCAUCAGGGACCUCUGUUUCCAUCCUGCUACCCGUGGGAGAGGUAGGUGGUCUGCCGCCAGCCACCCCCUUGUACCCAGAAGCAGAAGCUGCUCCCUUCUAGAUGCGUCCAUUCUCCCAACAGUGUGAGCGUCCUGUCCUCUUACUUAGGCUGGGAGCAAAUAUACAGUGUGCUCAUGUCACAGGCGCAGGGCCUAAGGGUUUUCCCAUCACUAUAGCGACAAGCCUUCUCUCUCCUACUCAGACUCUGGUUUUAUUCUGGAAGGCAGAUGCCGGAUUGGGAGGGAAUAAGCCCAUUGCAUUGUGGCCAAUUCGGGUGGCCACUCAUGGAUGGUGCCAUCUAGGGAGGGACAGCAGGGCGGCCCUACAAAUGGAAAGCAGGCCCCAAUAGUGGCUAGCCCUCACAGAAUGCUUCUGAAUCCCUUCAUGUGCUUUAUGCCUCUUAAAUGUCACAACAAACCUACACCUUAGGGGUUCUUCCUACUAAGCCUAGUUUGCAUAGGAGGAAACUGAGGCCUAGAGGGUCAUGCUUCAGUGACAGAGCCAGGCUGGCAUGUAGGCGAUUUGAUCCCAGAGCUGCCACACAGCCUUGUCAUGGGUGUGAAGAUGUCUGGACUCUGGACAAAGAGGAGAUAAGGGGUGGGGAGGGCAAGCUGGCCACUUUUUUCAAUACCUGAAGAAAGAGGAAUCAGAACUGACUCCAUAUAAUGAAAGGCCAAUUAGAACUUUCCAAAUGUGGACAGGCUACCUUGUUUCAGAGAUGAGGGAGGGUGAGAGUUUCCUACACCUGGAGGAUCCAAGCAGAGGCUGUGUGAUUCCAGCAUGAGGCCCCUCUAGCAGGCAGAGCAGGAGUGCAGGUAGUGGAAGGAGCCCUUCAGAGGUGGCCGGAGGGUCAGGAGCCCAAGCCCGUCUUAGGGGACCUGGGUGGGGCCAUCAGAGGCCCACGCAGCCUCAGCUCCCCUCUCUAUCUUCUCUUUCACUCUUCUGUGUGCCUGGCUCUCCUUCUCUCUCUCUGCUUCAGCCACUCUCCUCACUCACCAAGCUGUAGCCAUACCAGGGUUUCUGGAAGAGGCCAAGUGCUUUCUGCUCCAAAGCGUUUUUGCAUAAGUCGUGGCCUCUGCCUUCUCUUGUUCAUGUCACCAACUCCUGCUCAUCCUUUAGAUCCAACUCAAACGUGACCUCCGGGAAGCCUUCCCUGACCACCUCAUCCCUGUGGGGAGCCUGAUGUGGGACUCGAUCCCAGGACCCCGGGAUCACGCCCUGAGCUGAAGACAGACGCUCAACCACUGAGCCACCCAGGUGCCCCGAAAAUUUGCCUUUUUAAUGAGUUCCCAGGUAGUGUGGAUGCUGCUGGCCACAGAGCCACACUAUGGAAACCAUUGGAUUUGACAAUCUGCAGGUCCUCUGAGGCACUUGUUUUUAAAUUUUCCAAAUCGAGUAAAUGAAUAUGAAAGUUC